CGUUCCCGGGUCUUGUACACACCGCCCGUCACACCACGAAAGUCGGCGACACCCGAAGCCGGUGGCCUAACCCGCAAGGGAGGGAGCCGUCGAAGGUGGGGCUGGCGAUUGGGGUG
This 116-nucleotide ribosomal RNA is filed under the name uncultured bacterium. RNAcentral describes it as "partial 16S ribosomal RNA". It matches the Rfam family "Bacterial small subunit ribosomal RNA", at positions 1369 to 1482 of the family's 1533-position model. The record is from RNAcentral.